UAGGGAAUCUUCCGCAAUGGGCGAAAGCCUGACGGAGCAACGCCGCGUGAGUGAUGAAGGUCUUCGGAUCGUAAAACUCUGUUAUUAGGGAAGAACAAAUGUGUAAGUAACUAUGCACGUCUUGACGGUACCUAAUCAGAAAGCCACGGCUAACUACGUGCCAGCAGCCGCGGUAAUACGUAGGUGGCAAGCGUUAUCCGGAAUUAUUGGGCGUAAAGCGCGCGUAGGCGGUUGUUUAAGUCUGAUGUGAAAGCCCACGGCACAACCGUGGAGGGUCAUUGGAAACUGAAAAACUUGAGUGCAGAAGAGGAAGGUGGAAUUCCAUGUGUAGCGGUGAAAUACGCAGAGAUAUGGAGGAACACCAGUGGCGAAGGAGACUUUCUGGUCUGUAACUGACGCUGCUGUGCGAAAGCGUGGGGAUCAAACAGG
RNAcentral lists this ribosomal RNA (429 nucleotides) under Actinomycetes bacterium. RNAcentral describes it as "Actinobacteria bacterium partial 16S ribosomal RNA". It matches the Rfam family "Bacterial small subunit ribosomal RNA", at positions 355 to 776 of the family's 1533-position model. The record is from RNAcentral. Lineage: Bacteria; Bacillati; Actinomycetota; Actinomycetes.